Molecule: non-coding RNA, 78 nt
Organism: Podarcis lilfordi (Lilford's wall lizard)
Lineage: Eukaryota; Metazoa; Chordata; Lepidosauria; Squamata; Lacertidae
Source: the annotation of a GenBank genome assembly
CUCCCAGUGGCACAAUGGGUCAGUUAGUGUGUCUGGCUGUUAACCAGCUGGUUGGUGGUUUGAGCCCACCCAGGGAUG